This 483-nucleotide ribosomal RNA is filed under the name uncultured bacterium. RNAcentral describes it as "partial 16S ribosomal RNA". It matches the Rfam family "Bacterial small subunit ribosomal RNA", at positions 28 to 507 of the family's 1533-position model. The record is from RNAcentral.
GACGAACGCUGGCGGCGUGCUUAACACAUGCAAGUCGAACGGUGAACCUCUUCGGAGGGGAUCAGUGGCGAACGGGUGAGUAACACGUGGGCAACCUGCCCCCGGCUCUGGGAUAACUCCAAGAAAUUGGGGCUAAUACCGGAUGUUCACCGCUUCCCGCAUGGGUGGUGGUGAAAAGGGUUUCCGGCUGGGGAUGGGCCCGCGGCCUAUCAGCUUGUUGGUGGGGUAGUGGCCUACCAAGGCGACGAUGCGUAGCCGGCCUGAGAGGGUGACCGGCCACACGGGAACUGGGGCACGGUCCAGACUCAGACGGGGGGCAGGAGUAGGGAAGCUGCCGGAAUGGGCGAAAGCCGGACGGAGCGACGCCGCGUGAGUGAUGAAGGGCGUCGGGUGGUAAGACUGUGUUAUUAGGGAAGAACAAAUGUGUAAGUAAAUAUGCACGUCUUGAGGGUACCUAAUCAGAAGGCGACGGCUAGCUACGUG